UACGAGGGGGGCGAGCGUUGUUCGGAAUUAUUGGGCGUAAAGGGUGCGUAGGCGGUUUGGUAAGUCUUAUGUGAAAUCUACAGGCUCAACUUGUAGUCUGCAUGAGAAACUGCCGGGCUUGAGUAUGGGAGAGGUGAGCGGAAUUCCCGGUGUAGCGGUGAAAUGCGCAGAUAUCGGGAAGAACACCCGUGGCGAAGGCGGCUCUCUGGGACGGUACUGACGCUGAGACGCGAAAGCGUGGGGAGCGAACAGG
RNAcentral lists this ribosomal RNA (253 nucleotides) under uncultured bacterium. Its description in RNAcentral is "partial 16S ribosomal RNA". It matches the Rfam family "Bacterial small subunit ribosomal RNA", at positions 524 to 776 of the family's 1533-position model. The record is from RNAcentral.